UACGUAGGGGGCGAGCGUUGUCCGAAUUUACUGGGCGUAAAGCGCGCGUAGGCGGUUUCUUAAGUCUGGGGUGAAAGGUUCAACGCUCAACGUGAACAGUGCCUUGGAUACUGGGAGACUUGAGUCUGGGAGGGGGCAGUGGAAUUCCUGGUGUAGCGGUGAAAUGCGUAGAUAUCAGGAGGAACACCGGUGGCGAAGGCGGCUGCCUGGCCUAAGACUGACGCUGAGGUGCGAAAGCGUGGGUAGCGAACGGG
This 254-nucleotide ribosomal RNA is filed under the name Armatimonas sp. Its description in RNAcentral is "partial 16S ribosomal RNA". It matches the Rfam family "Bacterial small subunit ribosomal RNA", at positions 524 to 776 of the family's 1533-position model. The record is from RNAcentral. Lineage: Bacteria; Bacillati; Armatimonadota; Armatimonadia; Armatimonadales; Armatimonadaceae.